This is a long non-coding RNA of Gallus gallus (chicken), 1220 nucleotides long. Lineage: Eukaryota; Metazoa; Chordata; Aves; Galliformes; Phasianidae. The record is from Ensembl.
AAGCUCUGCAAGCCUGGCCAAUAAACAAUGCAGAUUCACGAUGUACACCACAGCCUCCAGCCCGUAAUGAUGAGCGGCACAGGUCUGACAGGUAGCCAGUAACAUUAACUGGAUGAGGCCAUUGUGGUUGUGUUGCCUCCUGCUUUUUCCACCAGCAGAAAGAUGGCAACGUUUAAGAUCCCAACCCAGAGAGCCUUUUCGGUUGGUGACCCUGCUGAUGGCAGCAAUGUUACACUUGAUAUCCAGACAUUGGUCUCUGCAGAAAGAGUGUUACAAACAGCAACGUGUCUGGUACAGAUGGGGAAAACCCUUCUGAGCCAUGGAGUGAAUUUACUGCGCUUUCACUGUGACACAGAGCUGGAAAUACUUCAGGACUUGGCACCUUAUGGAAGAAGUCUGAAAACCUGAAUCUCCAUCUUGUGUUCAGACAAAAGUCUCCAGUUUCUCUGUGAGAUCAGGAGGCUAUGGCCACUGCAGAAUUGGGAUGCUCCCAUAGUGUUGUGCUAUUUUAGCUAUUAUGGCUGCUUUAAUUCAUGCUUCGGUGGUUGUUUUUAGGUUUUUAUUUUUUUCCCCAAAACCUUAAACAAAACAAAACGACUGCCCCAAUCUGAUCCAGCUCACCUGUGCUUGACCUUUCUGUCUCCACCACGCCAUGCAGCUGGUCCUGCAGUUCAUUUGUGCUUUUUUUGUUGGUGCCACUUUUGCUCUCUUUCAAAAGAGAUGCGGAGAGGCCACAUCAAGCUACAUACACCCACACCCAUGCCAGAAUUGCAGAACCCUACAGCCAAGUCUGCUGCUUUCAGUAAAAGGGGCAGGGCUUUUAGAUACCUCAUAGAAGUGGAUUAAGACUCUAACGGCUUAAAAAGUACACAAAUAUUCAGAAAUAUUUGUGGUGCUCAUGAGUAAUGUUAUUAGCUUGAAGAUUACAGUGCUUAAUGUACAACAGGAUUUGAGGAUUUAAUAGUAAAGAUCCAGAGUAAUGUGGCAGAUGUCUUGCAUUAGAGUACACUUAAGUGUGUAUCAGAGUAGAAAAUAUUUUCUAUUUUAUUACAUUACAUAACAUAAGGGAAAGGUUUAAAAACAAGUUGUAUUAAUAGAUACGCUGCAUUUCUUCCUUAUUUGUGCUGGUGGAUAGCUAAACUUCUGACUUCCUUUGUUUUUGACGGUUACAUCAUGCAUGAUGGGUUUACCAAGAGAAUUAAUAAAAUGCUUCAGCUUAU